CAGCCGCCGCGGUAAUACAUAGGUCCCGAGCGUUGUCCGGAUUUAUUGGGCGUAAAGGGAGCGCAGGCGGUUUAGUAAGUCUGAAGUUAAAGGCAUUGGCUCAACCAAUGUAUGCUUUGGAAACUGGGAAACUUGAGUGCAGAAGAGGAGAGUGGAAUUCCACGUGUAGCGGUGAAAUGCGUAGAGAUGUGGAGGAACACCAGUGGCGAAGGCGACUCUCUGGUCUGUAACUGACGCUGAGGAGCGAAAGCGUGGGGAGCGAACAGGAUUAGAUACCCGGGUAGUCCCUGUCUCUUAUACA
RNAcentral lists this ribosomal RNA (301 nucleotides) under uncultured bacterium. RNAcentral's name for it is "partial 16S ribosomal RNA". It matches the Rfam family "Bacterial small subunit ribosomal RNA", at positions 509 to 808 of the family's 1533-position model. The record is from RNAcentral.